Small nuclear RNA from Puma concolor (puma), 136 nucleotides. RefSeq annotates it as U4 spliceosomal RNA. The record is from RefSeq and is a predicted model, not a curated record. NCBI's taxonomy places the organism in Eukaryota, Metazoa, Chordata, Mammalia, Carnivora, Felidae.
AGCUUUGCGCAGUGGCAGUAUCGUAGCCAAUGAGGUUUAUCCGAGGCGCGAUUAUUGCUAAUUGAAAGUAUUCAGUCAAUUUUCGAAGACUUUUGUUAAGGGAAACUUAUUCCUCAUCUUCAUGCCCCACAAGGGG